Molecule: long non-coding RNA, 2213 nt
Filed under: Dermacentor andersoni
Lineage: Eukaryota; Metazoa; Arthropoda; Arachnida; Ixodida; Ixodidae
Description: uncharacterized LOC126544519
Source: RNAcentral
CCAUCCUAGAAUUCGCGUCUAUGUUCUACAGCUAUAGGUCAGUUUGACUACCGUAAAUCUGUGUGCUAACAUCGUCACUACACAGCUGCAACAAUAGUACAAUGAACAAUAAGUUUUUUGAGAAAGCUGUAAAAAUCUCAGGCCUCCUCAUUGCAUGGAGGCCACAGACUUCGGACCAGUGUUACUUAAGUGAUCAGUUUCGGUUUAGCUUUGGGUCAAAACCAGAUCAAACAAAUGAUUGAAAACUGCAAAGUAGUCUUGCAUCCUAAUCUGUGAAGGAUACGAUACAUAUUGCAGAUCUGCUGUGGCCUCGUUUUCUGGAACAGAAGCAGCAAGUCAAACUAUGGUUUGCAUGAAUACAUAGAGGAGUAAAUGAAAAGGAAAUGAUAUUGAACUGAUAAUUUAGCAUACGAUUUUAAGUCAUUUUGAUGUGCUGUUGUGCCCAUACCAUUGAGCUUCAGGUGACAACAUUUUAAGUUUUCACUCCUGCCUCUGAUCUAACGUUCGAACAUUACAUUUUUGCUUAGAAAUUCUUAGCGCAGGCUCCAUUUAUGUUUACAGAAUGUUACUCUCUACGUAUUACAGUUUAACAGUAACACACGGAUGUAUGGCAUCAAUAAGCACCCAUGAUUUUCAGAGUAUAAUUGUAGUGCAUGUAGAUGAGGAAGAAUGUAGAUCAAAUUUCACAAAACCUAAAUGUGGGAUUUAUCUAAAGGUAAUGCAAAGCAACAAAGGCCCAUGUGAGUUCCUCAAUAUGAAAGUGCGACUUAAUAAAUUACUGUAUUUACUCGAUUCUAAUCUACCCUUGAUUGUAAUGUGCAUCUGAUUUGCACAGGGAGAAAUAGCAAUUUGUUCUCGCUAAAGGAAGGGAAGACAUUGUUUUGGUUUUGGAAUUGAUUCCAAUAUGUAUGUUAUAUUGUACUGAAUUUUUCCAAAAGAAAAUAAGUGCACAUUAGAACAGAGCAAGCACAGUGCGGGACCACCUUUCCCAGGGUGUCAUUCUACCAAAUGGGCUAAUCGGGAGGCUGUCAUAGAUGGAUUGUUGGAUGAGGGUAAGUUAAUUGACAUCUCAAAUCAGUAAAACAAUAACGUAAUGAAAGACUUUGGACUGACCGCAGGUAAUUCACGUGAGGGAAGCUCGUUCUCCGCGUCCUCUAUCUGCAGUUCAACGUGCUCGAGUUCCUGCAGAAAAAAAAUAACUGUUACGCUAAUUGGUCCGGCAUAACUGUUGAGGGAAAUUAGUACUAACAAAAAAGAUGCACACACUGCUCUUCCUGUGUGUGCAUAAUUUCUUUAGUGCCAAUUCUGCUCAACAGUAAUGCAGUGAAAAUUAAAGGGCAACAAAAAAGCAGGUGCCUGAAUGGUACUGUAGCUAGAGCUUGCUGCCUCGUCCUUGACUCUUCCUUGGCUUCAUGCUCGUACAUGCAGGUUAUCUUCUACAUAGGAUAAAGCUUGCAUUCAUCAGCUUCAUGUCAGUCACAAGUAUAUUAGAAUGUAAUUGAAAACAUUUAUUUCACUCUUUACAGGGCCUCGGUAGGGUUUUCCUCCUGGUUAGGACAUGAUCCAACUGCUUUCAAGGCUUUCAAAGUAUACCGAAAUAAUCUGACUAAACUCCGGAGAUAAUAUAAACACUACUAUUAUUUUACUUUGUUUGAUGGCGCGGUAAACGAGAAAAAGAUGUGGAACAAACUAAAUGCUAUAACAUCUGCAAGGCGACUGGAGAACAACAUUGAUGAGCUUACGAUAUGUAAUAAAGUGUACAUAGGAAUUGAAUUGGCUAACAAAUUCAAUUAGCAUUUUACUACUCUAGAAAAUAGUACAUAUGAUGCCGAAGCUCUAAACUAUCUGGCCCUUUCCACACAGUAUUCCCUAUUUGCCACACCAACAAGUGAACAUAAGUUUGCUGCUUUGUGCCAAGGAGCUGGUGGGGCUAGUCAAGCUGCAAGUAUGCAGCUUUUACCCUGCCACCAUAAAUGGUCUGACCACGUCUCCUGCGCCACGUCGCCAGACGCGAGGAAAACUACUCCCUGGACUUUGAUCCCUGAUACCCACUCAACUUCUUCGUUAAGGGCGGAUGUAAAGUUGCCAAAGGCCAUCGCCUUGCUUUUGUCUUUAUUCAGAAGGGCUCCGGAUAAUUCAGAGUAAUAUUAAAGAACCGUAAGAAGGCAUAGUAGCUUUCUUCGUUUCUUAAAAAGAGGGACACGUCGUCUGCA